Molecule: long non-coding RNA, 1898 nt
Organism: Sphaeramia orbicularis (orbiculate cardinalfish)
Lineage: Eukaryota; Metazoa; Chordata; Actinopteri; Kurtiformes; Apogonidae
Exons: 2
Source: RefSeq, a predicted model, not a curated record
GUGGAACCGACGUGGACCGGUUCUGUCUGGAGCUGCAUGAGGUUCUACAUCUGAAGACCAGAAGGUGGAGGGAGGACACGGGUACCAGCCCCACUGGGACCUCAGGUCGACCCUGGAGGUCCACGUGGACCAGAAGGACCUCCCUCCUCUGCUGGGGCUGGACACUCUGCCGUCGGACGUGACCGUUGGACAGGGCGCCGACGUCUGGACGACCAGCGUCCACUUCAAGACCCGAUGAGACGACGACCACAACAACCACAACAACCACAAUGACCACAACGACCACGACCACGAUGACCACGACCACGAUGACCACGACCACAACGACCACGACCACGAUGACCACGACCACGAUGACCACGACCACGAUGACCACGACCACAACAACCACAACAACCACAAUGACCACAACGACCACGACCACGAUGACCACGACCACGAUGACCACGACCACAACGACCACGACCACGAUGACCACGACCACGAUGACCACGACCACAAUGACCACAACGACCACGAUGACCACGACCACGAUGACCACGACCACAACGACCACGACCACGAUGACCACAACGACCACGACCACGAUGACCACGACCACGAUGACCACGACCACAACGACCACGACCACGAUGACCACGACCACGAUGACCACGACCACGUGUCCAACAUCGACUUUAACGUUUAGCAGCAAAACUGAGACUCAGACGUUCUAAAGCCGGAGGAGAAGAAACAAGAAAAAACCUCACAAGUAUACAUACAUGUGCAGAUAUUCUGAGAUUCAAAAAGUCCAUUUACAAGAAAAUGUUGAGGUUUCAAGGAAAAAAACCCCUGACGUUUACAGACAAAGUGAAUAUUCUCUGAUAUUAAAGGACGACAUUGACGAGAAAAAUACGGAGAAAAAAAAAAUCAAGUGUGAGUCAUUAGUUUAUACGGAAAAGACAAAAACAAACUGUAGCUGAAAAUAAAAGAAUCUAUUGUAUUUAUGAGAAAAAAACUCAAAUUCGUCUCAUAAAUACUGGGAUUCUCUGUGAGAUUAAAGUUUUACAAGAAAAAGAAAAAUGAAAAAGGUACAAUUAGAAAUAAAGGAUAAAAUCAAGAAAAAACUCAGAUUUAUAAAGUUUAUAAAGUCACGUUUGUAUGAAAAUUGGGCACAUGAUGUGAGAUUAGUUCUGUAUUUCAAAGAAUGAAUGUCAGAAAAUCUGUGGAAGUUUCACAUAUGGAAGAAAAAAACACAAAUGUAUGAGUUAAAGAUGAAAAAUAAAGUUAAAGUGUAAAAAUAAGGACAGAAAUGUAGCCUGAGACGAACCAACUCAUCUAAAGUUCUGACCAAUGAAUGUUCUCUUUUUUGUAUUAAAUGUGAGAAUCGACAAAAAACUAAGAAAAAAAAUCUGUCAAACUCUCAAAAAGACGAGUAAACGUGGACAAAAACAAUCUUACAGCGGAAACAUGGACAAAACCAUCAACAAAAACAUGAACUGACCCAGAGUUUGUUCUUGUAAAUCUGUGAGUUGAUGAUCGGACUUGAAACCCAAAUAUUCAGGGUAUUCUUGACCUUUGACCUUUGACCUCAGCUCAUCCAUCUGCCCACAGUCUCUGUUUAUGAUGUUUAUUAUGUCAGAUUCAACUGUGGUUAAUCAGAUGUAAAUAUAUGCUGAUUAUUUAUGUUUCUGUGGAAAUAUUUCCCAUCAUGCUUUGUGUUUGAGACCAGCUGACGUUCUUUAUUCAUCUGUUCUUCGUGUUCCUGAUCUGUUUUCAUGGUAACAUUCUAUCAGUGAUUCAUUCUUUUUCAGCUUUUAAACGCUCACUUUUACUCUGUUUAUUCUGAAUAUUAUGUCACUUUGUUUUUACUGUUAUUGUUUUGUCCGAGAAUAAUUAAUAAAUCUGUCAUGAAUGAA